ACGCACGCUGGCGGCGUGCUUAACACAUGCAAGUCGAACGGUGAAGCGCCUUCCUUUUUGGUGGGUGUGGAUGAGUGGCGAACGGGUGAGUAACACGUGAGUAACCUGCCCCCUUCUUCUGGAUAACCGCAUGAAAGUGUGACUAAUACGGGAUAUUCUGGGUCUGUCGCAUGAUGGGUCUGGGAAAGAUAUUGUUUCGGUGGGGGAUGGGCUCGCGGCCUAUCAGCUUGUUGGUGGGGUGAUGGCCUACCAAGGCGGUGACGGGUAGCCGGCCUGAGAGGGUGGACGGUCACACUGGGACUGAGACACGGCCCAGACUCCUACGGGAGGCAGCAGUGGGGAAUAUUGCACAAUGGGCGCAAGCCUGAUGCAGCGACGCCGCGUGAGGGAUGGAGGCCUUCGGGUUGUGAACCUCUUUCGCCAGUGAAGCAGGCCUGCCUCGUUUGUGGGUGGGUUGACGGUAGCUGGAUAAGAAGCGCCGGCUAACUACGUG
Molecule: ribosomal RNA, 493 nt
Filed under: uncultured bacterium
Lineage: Bacteria
Description: partial 16S ribosomal RNA
Rfam family: Bacterial small subunit ribosomal RNA
Source: RNAcentral